This 253-nucleotide ribosomal RNA is filed under the name uncultured bacterium. RNAcentral's name for it is "partial 16S ribosomal RNA". It matches the Rfam family "Bacterial small subunit ribosomal RNA", at positions 524 to 776 of the family's 1533-position model. The record is from RNAcentral.
UACGUAGGGGGCAAGCGUUGUCCGGAAUCAUUGGGCGUAAAGCGCGUGUAGGCGGUUCGGUAAGUCUGCUGUGAAAGUCCAGGGCUCAACCCUGGGAUGCCGGUGGAUACUGUCGGGCUAGAGUACGGAAGAGGCGAGUGGAAUUCCCGGUGUAGCGGUGAAAUGCGCAGAUAUCAGGAAGAACACCAACGGCGAAGGCAGCUCGCUGGGACGGUACUGACGCUGAGACGCGAAAGCGUGGGGAGCGAACAGG